This 492-nucleotide ribosomal RNA is filed under the name uncultured bacterium. RNAcentral's name for it is "partial 16S ribosomal RNA". It matches the Rfam family "Bacterial small subunit ribosomal RNA", at positions 29 to 507 of the family's 1533-position model. The record is from RNAcentral.
AGUGAACGCUGGCGGUAGGCCUAACACAUGCAAGUCGAACGGCAGCACAGUAAGAGCUUGCUCUUACGGGUGGCGAGUGGCGGACGGGUGAGGAAUACAUCGGAAUCUACUUUUUCGUGGGGGAUAACGUAGGGAAACUUACGCUAAUACCGCAUACGACCUACGGGUGAAAGCAGGGGAUCUUCGGACCUUGCGCGAUUGAAUGAGCCGAUGUCGGAUUAGCUAGUUGGCGGGGUAAAGGCCCACCAAGGCGACGAUCCGCAGCUGGUCUGAGAGGAUGAUCCGCCACACUGGAACUGAGACACGGUCCAGACUCCUACGGGAGGCAGCAGUGGGGAAUAUUGGACAAAGGGCGCAAGCCUGAUCCAGCCAUACCGCGUGGGUGAAGAAGGCCUUCGGGUUGUAAAGCCCUUUUGUUGGGAAAGAAAAGCAGCAGGUUAAUACCCCGCUGUUCUGACGGUACCCAAAGAAUAAGCACCGGCUAACUUCGUG